GAUGCUUCCCUAAUCUGGUUCGCUCAGCUCAUCAUGCCAUGCUUGGGUCUCUGCAUAAUCAGGAACGCCCAUUUCCAGGUAAAAUUCCUCUCCUCUUCUUAGCGUCUCUGUUGCAAGGAUAUGUGCAAGGUUGUUUGCAGAUCUUGUUGUGUGAAGAAAUCUGAUAUUUUUUACUUCUAGUAUUUUCUGUUGUAUAUCAUAAAUAUAUGCCCCUACCAUUGAUCUGUCAUGAUCCUUUUUGUUGCAUUUCUUGAUUAUUACGAGGGAAUCUCCUUCAAAAAUGAGUGCCUGCCAACCAUGGUCAACUCCUACUUGGACUGCUUUCCGACAGGCAAUUGCUUUAGCAGCAAAAGCAGAUGGAACUCCAUUGUGGAUUUCUGAGCAGGAUAAAAGAAUUUUUCCUUCCGAGUCUCUGGCCACAACACCUGAGGCUGACCGGUUCUGAAUCUGAUUAUAUGCACUAUCAAAAUUAAUCUUUAUGGAUUCCCACUGUGGGUGUGUCCAUCUCUCAUUUCCUUUCAUUAUUUCUGAGUUUCUUUGUUCAAGAUCAGUUAACUCAAUGAUGUAAUUACUAACAAAGUUUGCAACUUCUAUUCCAUUACUAACUUUGCCUUCAUGUAUGUUUCUUUUUCUGUCUCCCCAUAUGGCCUAUAGUGCACAGCAAAAGAGUCGACUUUGAUUUGGGUUUAACUGCUCUAGCGCCCAGGUGAGCCAUUGUACAAAAUCUUCGCUUUGAUACAUCAUAAUGUUCUGAAAUGAUAACAUUUUCCAUACCUCUCUUGUAACAGCACAGUCACGGAAUAAGUGAUUCAUCGUUUCAGCUCCUUCUCCACAUCGGGGACACCUUGUGUUGACUGCUAAUUUUCGGUGUUGUAGAUUUACCUUUGUAGGCAGAUAGUUCCAUGAUAGCCGCCACAUUGUGAUAUUUAUUUUUGUUGGUAUAUUCAGGCUCCAAAGUGUUUUGUAAAAUUUUCUGUAGAGGUUUUGUAAAGCAUAAGCUCUAGGAUUAUCAGUCGAUCUCUGUAAUAGUUGAUAGGCACUUCGUACCGUGAAUUCACCCGACUUCUCCCUUCCCCAAAUAAGAAAAUCUUCAUGCGGUGAUUGUGCCAGCGGGAUCCUAAGGAUUCUUUCAGCAUCUGCUUCAGUGAAGGUAUUGUUAAUCAACUCUGCAUUCCAGCUUCUACUAUUACUGUCGAUUAACUCCUUUACUUUAGAAACGCGCAUAGAAUUAACUCCUGACGACAAUUUAAAAUUAUCAGAAUCUGGAAUCCAAGCAUCAGUAAUGGAUAUACUAGAACCCGUUCCCACCUUCCAACAGUGCCCUAUUAUCAAUAAGGCUUUGGCUGCCCAAACACUUUUCCACACAUAAGAACAAGAGUUUCCUAACUGGGAGUUUAAAAAAUCAUUUUCUGGGAAGUAUUUGGCUUUAAAAACUUGCGCAACAAGAGAACCCUGAUUAUUCAUAAUCUGCCAUCCUUGUUUAGCCAAUAAUGAGAUAUUGAAUUGCGCCAUAUUUCGGAAACCCAUACCUCCCUCCUCUUUAGGCUUACACAUAUAUUCCCAUUGGCACCAAUGUAUCCCUUUUUUGCCUUUUCCUUUCUGCCACCAGAAUCUGGCAAACAGUUUUUCUAUCUCCUCACAGAAAGAUUUUGGUAGCAAAAAACAUGUCAUCGCAUAAAUAGGGAUUGCUUGAAGUACUGCUUUAAUGAAAACUUCUUUGCCUCAUUGAGAUAAGAAACGUGUACUCCAAUUAUCU
This 1756-nucleotide long non-coding RNA is filed under the name Gossypium barbadense (sea-island cotton). RNAcentral describes it as "long non-coding RNA (GBAR_LNC015271)". Lineage: Eukaryota; Viridiplantae; Streptophyta; Magnoliopsida; Malvales; Malvaceae. The record is from RNAcentral.